AUGGAGAUGACGAGCAGCACGAUGGUGAAGCCGGUACCGCACCCGCUCGUCGGUGAGAAGGUCCCGCUGACCAUCUUCGACCGCGCUGCCGUGGACGUCUUCGUCCCCACCAUGCUCGCGUACCCUGCGGCUGCGCCGGCGAACGAGGCGCUCAAGGAAUGCCUUCUCAAGGCCGUGGCGCCGUACCCGCACCUGGCGGGGCGCCUUGCCGUCGACCAGCUCGGCCGGCGCUUCCUCCACGUCAAUAAUGAGGGCGUGCACUAG
RNAcentral lists this ribosomal RNA (264 nucleotides) under Triticum aestivum (bread wheat). Its description in RNAcentral is "partial small subunit ribosomal RNA". The record is from RNAcentral. Lineage: Eukaryota; Viridiplantae; Streptophyta; Magnoliopsida; Poales; Poaceae.